GGGGUUGGUUACGGAGCUGGUGCCCGUCGCAGUCUUCAAAACUGUCCGAGAGGCAAGUUUGUCUCUGGUGGGUUCGAUUCCCACACAAUCCCGCCA
This 96-nucleotide transfer RNA is filed under the name Salinibacillus xinjiangensis. RNAcentral's name for it is "tRNA-Sec". It matches the Rfam family "Selenocysteine transfer RNA". The record is from RNAcentral. Lineage: Bacteria; Bacillati; Bacillota; Bacilli; Caryophanales; Bacillaceae.